Molecule: ribosomal RNA, 253 nt
Filed under: uncultured bacterium
Lineage: Bacteria
Description: partial 16S ribosomal RNA
Rfam family: Bacterial small subunit ribosomal RNA
Source: RNAcentral
UACGUCGGGGGCAAGCGUUGUCCGGAUUUAUUGGGCGUAAAGAGCGCGUAGGCGGUCCGGUAAGUCGGCUGUGAAAGUCAAGGGCUCAACCCUUGAAAGCCGGCCGAUACUGUCAGACUAGAGUCCGGAAGAGGAGAGUGGAAUUCCUGGUGUAGCGGUGAAAUGCGCAGAUAUCAGGAAGAACACCCGUGGCUAAGGCGGCUCUCUAGUACGGUACUGACGCUGAGACGCGAAAGCGUGGGGAGCGAACAGG